Pezoporus flaviventris is the source of this 1909-nucleotide long non-coding RNA. RefSeq lists it as uncharacterized. The transcript is spliced from 2 exons. The record is from RefSeq and is a predicted model, not a curated record. NCBI's taxonomy places the organism in Eukaryota, Metazoa, Chordata, Aves, Psittaciformes, Psittacidae.
ACUUUUUUUUUUAAACAAUGCUUUCAAACUGAAUUGUAUUGAAGAAAACUGUUACUUUAACACACAUGCAGGUGUCACAAACCCUCUCAAAAUAGCAAAAAUCAACAGCAAAAAAGUAAGGAAUACUAAUUUCUGUACCACUUCCAUUUUGGUUUGAUGCCCAGGGCUGGGCACAGCAUCUUGUCUAACGUUCAUCAGUGUCGAAACCGUCACAAAAGGACUGUCAGACUGAACCUGUGUCCAGCAAACUUUCAUUCCUUUCUUCAGAGCUCUCUUUGGGAUCGUUUCCUUUGUGUGAAGUUAAGGCUGAUGUUUCUUAAGUGGCUUACGUGUACUUUUAGGUAACGGUUUUAAGUGGCAAAGUCUGGUUUUAGGGUAAGUUCAACUUCAGAAGUCUCAAGUACCUUAAAGCAGUGCGAGUGUUUGAUGAGCUAACAGCGAUUCCCAAGCUUUCCCUACACCCAGCGAGCUGUGGCUCUGGAUCUGUGAGCAAACGCUGUUCAAAGCACCACAAACCACCAAAGUUGGUAAGUCUGAACAGAGCACUUUAGUUCUGUCAAACAACCCUUACAUCUGUUUCUAAAAGGCACAAAUCCAUCUUUUCACCCCCCAAAAAGCAAGGCAGCUUGUUUUAGAAUUGUAGUUCUGGCUUUACUGGCUGAAAGAACCAGUUCUUAAAACCUAUUUUUAUACAUUGAGAGAUGGGGAUUUCAAAGAAAGCUAUUUAUUCCUGUCUUGUGUCGUAGAAGGAUCAAAAGAAUUAGUUCUCAAAAUGGAUUUCACUGUGGAAUAGAAGUGAUUUUUAAAUGCAAAGGAGAAAGGGAAUCCCAAGUCCUUCCCUGCAGGGGCACGGAGAAGUUAGCGCCGAGGCUUCCCUCGGGAGGAGCGAGUGACACGCGGUGCCGUCUCAGAAGCGUUUUCCAUUUGGGAGCGUUGGCAUUGGGAAUAGUGGAAAUGGGAUGGAAUUCCCAGCAAGCUCCUCAUCACGCUGGCAGCCUGGGAGUGAAGUGUUAAUAAAUAGGCCAGGCUCGACGCCCAGCAGCAGGAGGAGCGCUCCACGAGGCUCCUCCUUCAGAGCACGCUGCACUCCCCUUUUUGUGGAACCUUUUCAUGCCACGGUCCGUAAAUCCUGGCAAACUAAGUGCCAGGCUUCCAAAAAUAACAGGUUAACUAACGCCAGGCCUUUGCCAUUACCCGCAUUCCAUCCUGUGCUGUUCCUGGCUGGAGCUGCAGGGUGAGGGUACUCAGAAAUGAAACGCGGCCUGGUUCCUCCCCAGAAUAAACCUGACAUCAUCUGAAAUGCCAGCACGUGGGUUCGCUGCCUGGUUGGUUACCAGAGGGCACGGAGCUCGGAGCUGUGCGUUCAGGAUAGUCUGGAAUGCUGUUAAAUGAGAGGGAUGUGAGCAGAGCUGGAGAGAAAUCCGUGCGACUGAGCGCUUCCAGGGGCCAGGAAACGCGUUGGGUGGGAGAGGCGGCAGCCUGACGACACCUCCUGUACCGAAUCCUUGGAUCUAGCCCUUUGCUCCCUUCCAUUUUUCCUCACAUAAGGAAGAACCGUGUUGGUACUGAAGCGGAAAGCAAAUCCUGUGUGUUUUCAAGUGCAGUUUAAUAGCUUCUCUUGGACAUAACUUUCCACUAGGAAUGAAGGAAACUCCUGCUCCAUUUGAGCCAUUUCUUCUACUUCGGUCAAUUCUAGUAUUACAAAUUGUGCAUGUAACUUUAUAAAUAUUUUAAAUAGUUUUGUAAAUAUUUAAUAUUCAGCUAAUUUGAUUUUGAAUUGUAAAUGUCAAGUAUUCUGGUAUUGGGAUUUUUAUGUUUUAUUAUACUUUGUUAAAAGUAAAAUUGUACAUUUUUAGAAUGUUUUUAUCUGAGUAAAUUUAAUGUAUGGAAAAUAAAGAAUUAAACAGAA